UGAUUCAUCACGUUCACAGAUUCGCGCCCAGAAUAUGACUUGGGCGUUAUGUGCUACUACAAACCCGCACAGAGUACCUCAACGUAUAGAAUAUCACCAGGUACAAUAUAGAGAUAGAUAGAAGAGAGAUAUGAUAUUUCUCCAAUAUUGAACACAUGUCGAGAAAAUGCAGGCAAGCUUCCCCCUCGACUUCACAGCAUGUGUGUAUCUCACUCUGGUGUAUUUCAUGGAAGUGAUACAUGACAGUACUACUUUACUACUUAGAAUGGCGCCUGCAUCCCUGCAGCUGCCGCACAUCUCCUCCCGUAUCCCUGCACCUCUUUUUCCUGAGAUGGUUGAACCCCCUGCUGUUCCCACGGUCAGCAUUUUAUGCUUGUAUUAUUGUAUUUAUCCUUUGCAUAAUUUGGCGUAUGACCCUCAUGGCAGUGGAUACAGCUAUGUUAUGAUUUUGUGCACGUUUUGUUCGUAUGGAAGGCUUUUCUUUUGUGUGUGUGUGAAGCAUGCAUCUCUGCUAAGUAUACAGUUUCAUGUGAGCUGUACUUCAGAACACCGCGUCAAGUCAGAUUGCGUAUUAUCUCUUCAUGCAUUAAGUAUCUGUCUUUUUCCAGCUCCUUGCCUUUGAAAUGGAGGCGCAGCAACCGCGUAGCAACACCCAUACAUGGGAGGAGGGAGCUGGAGCCGUGGUUUCGUUGCAGUUGAUCUUGGCACCCGCUUUGCAAAACUUAAAUGCAUAUGCAAUCCUCACCUCAUCAUUUUCUACUGUAGCUGUUCAGAUAGUUCUUCGGUACACCAUGCGAAUACCUGGUUCUCCCCAGUGGUUAUUUAUGAAGUUGUCUGCACCUUCUGCUGUGGUUAUUUAUGGAGUUGUCUGCUGGUCAGAAAGCAGUGGCUCUGUGUUGAAGGUGCCCUGGUCAGUGCUAUGUUCCGCUUCCUGCCACCACUGCUGAGAAAGAAGCCAGGUGGAGUCAUCAAGAAGUUGCGAACUCGAGGUGGAUGUCACGACGGAACCGCUCAUGCGGGCCAACUUUGACACGCUC
Long non-coding RNA from Ornithodoros turicata, 1037 nucleotides. RefSeq lists it as uncharacterized. NCBI's taxonomy places the organism in Eukaryota, Metazoa, Arthropoda, Arachnida, Ixodida, Argasidae. The transcript has 3 exons. The record is from RefSeq and is a predicted model, not a curated record.